This 242-nucleotide unclassified non-coding RNA is filed under the name uncultured Ascomycota. RNAcentral describes it as "sequence contains 5.8S rRNA gene, ITS2, 28S rRNA gene". The stretch from base 1 to 52 matches the Rfam family "5.8S ribosomal RNA", at positions 103 to 154 of the family's 154-position model. The record is from RNAcentral. Lineage: Eukaryota; Fungi; Ascomycota.
AACGCACAUUGCGCCCGCCAGUAUUCUGGCGGGCAUGCCUGUUCGAGCGUCAUUUCAACCAUCAAGCCCCAGGCUUGUGUUGGGGGCCUGCGGCUGCCGCAGCCCCCUAAAAGCAGUGGCGGGCUCGCUGUCAUUCCGAGCGUAGUAGUUAUAUCUCGCUCUGGGCGUGGCGGCGAGUACUGCCGUAAAACACUCUUUCUAAGGUUGACCUCGGAUCAGGUAGGAAUACCCGCUGAACUUAA